This 448-nucleotide ribosomal RNA is filed under the name uncultured bacterium. Its description in RNAcentral is "SSU rRNA". It matches the Rfam family "Bacterial small subunit ribosomal RNA", at positions 26 to 518 of the family's 1533-position model. The record is from RNAcentral.
AGAGCGAACGCUGGCGGCAGGCUUAACACAUGCAAGUCGAGCGGGCGUAGCAAUACGUCAGCGGCAGACGGGUGAGUAACGCGUGGGAACGUACCUUUUGGUUCGGAACAACCCAGGGAAACUUGGGCUAAUACCGGAUAAGCCCUUACGGGGAAAGAUUUAUCGCCGAAAGAUCGGCCCGCGUCUGAUUAGCUAGUUGGUGGGGUAAUGGCCCACCAAGGCGACGAUCAGUAGCUGGUCUGAGAGGAUGAUCAGCCACAUUGGGACUGAGACACGGCCCAAACUCCUACGGGAGGCAGCAGUGGGGGAAUAUUGGACAAUGGGCGCAAGCCUGAUCCAGCCAUGCCGCGUGAGUGAUGAAGGCCCUAGGGUUGUAAAGCUCUUUGUGCGGGAGAUAAUGACGGUACCGCAAGAAUAAGCCCCGGCUAACUUCGCGCCAAGCAGCCGC